This 261-nucleotide ribosomal RNA is filed under the name uncultured Leptotrichia sp. Its description in RNAcentral is "partial 16S ribosomal RNA". It matches the Rfam family "Bacterial small subunit ribosomal RNA", at positions 96 to 355 of the family's 1533-position model. The record is from RNAcentral. Lineage: Bacteria; Fusobacteriati; Fusobacteriota; Fusobacteriia; Fusobacteriales; Leptotrichiaceae.
UGGCGGACGGGUGAGUAACGCGUAAAGAACUUGCCCUUUAGACUGGGAUAACAGAGGGAAACUUCUGAUAAUACUGGAUAAGUUAGUAUAUCGCAUGAUAUGCAAAUGAAAGCUACGGCACUAAAGGAGAGCUUUGCGUCCUAUUAGCUAGUUGGUAAGUUAAGAGCUUACCAAGGCGAUGAUAGGUAGCCGGCCCUGAGAGGGUGGACGGCCACAAGGGGACGUGAGAUACGGCCCUUACUCCUACGGGAGGCAGCAGCA